Molecule: unclassified non-coding RNA, 17 nt
Filed under: Mus musculus (house mouse)
Lineage: Eukaryota; Metazoa; Chordata; Mammalia; Rodentia; Muridae
Description: oocyte_clustered_small_RNA13000
Source: RNAcentral
UGUCAGGAAUCAGGGUA